GCCCACUGAUAAAUUAUUAAAGGGCCGCAGUAUUUUGACUGUGCGAAGGUAGCAUAAUCAGUAGUCUUUUAAUUGAAGGCUUGUAUGAAUGGUUGAAUGAGAUAUAUACUGUCUUUUUUAAAUUUUUAUAGAAUUUUAUUUUUUAAUUAAAAAGUUAAAAUGUAAUUAAAAGACGAGAAGACCCUAUAGAUCUUUAUUUUUGUUAAUUAUAAAUUAAAAAGAAUAAUUAAAUUUAUAUUUUAAUAAAAAAUUUUACUGGGGUGGUAUUAAAAUUUAAAAAACUUUUAUUUUCAAUUUACAUUAAUUUAUGAAUAUUUGAUCCAGUUAUAUUGAUUAAAAAAUUAAGUUACCUUAGGGAUAACAGCGUAAUUUUUUUUUAGAGUUCUUAUCGACAAAAAAGAUUGCGACCUCGAUGUUGGAUUAAGAGUUAUUUUUAGGUGUAGAAGUUUAAAGUUUAGGUCUGUUCGACCUUUGAAUUCUUACAUGAUCUGAGUUCAAACCGGCGUAAGCCAGGUUGGUUUCUAUCUUUAAUUAAUUAUUAUAUUAUAGUACGAAAGGACCUAAUAUAAAAAAUAUAAAUUUUAAAUUUAUGAAUUAUAUUAAUAUUUAAUAAACUAUUUUGGCAGAUUAGUGCAAUAAAUUUAGAAUUUAUUUAUAUAAUUUAAUUAAUUAUAAAUAGUAUUGUUUUAUAUAGAUUAUUUAUUAUCAUUGAUUGGAAGUUUAUUAUUGGUAAUUUGUGUAAUAGUAGGGGUAGCUUUUUUAACUUUAUUAGAGCGGAAAGUUUUAGGAUAUAUUCAAAUUCGU
This 804-nucleotide ribosomal RNA is filed under the name Aedes aegypti (yellow fever mosquito). RNAcentral describes it as "partial 16S ribosomal RNA". The stretch from base 1 to 563 matches the Rfam family "Bacterial large subunit ribosomal RNA", at positions 1861 to 2925 of the family's 2925-position model. The record is from RNAcentral. Lineage: Eukaryota; Metazoa; Arthropoda; Insecta; Diptera; Culicidae.